This 253-nucleotide ribosomal RNA is filed under the name uncultured bacterium. Its description in RNAcentral is "partial 16S ribosomal RNA". It matches the Rfam family "Bacterial small subunit ribosomal RNA", at positions 524 to 776 of the family's 1533-position model. The record is from RNAcentral.
UCCGUAGGGUGCAAGCGUUGUCCGGAAUUAUUGGGCGUAAAGAGCUCGUAGGCGGUCUGUCGCGUCGGCUGUGAAAACCCGGAGCUCAACUCCGGGCCUGCAGUCGAUACGGGCAGACUGGAGUUCGGCAGGGGAGACUGGAAUUCCUGGUGUAGCGGUGAAAUGCGCAGAUAUCAGGAGGAACACCGGUGGCGAAGGCGGCUCACUGGCUCAUUUCUGACGCUCAGGCGCGACAGCGUGGGGAUCAAACAGG